Molecule: long non-coding RNA, 1313 nt
Filed under: Homo sapiens (human)
Lineage: Eukaryota; Metazoa; Chordata; Mammalia; Primates; Hominidae
Description: non-protein coding NUTM2B-AS1:6
Source: RNAcentral
GGCCCUCCGGCUGAGCCCUGAUCUCUAUGGUUUCCGCGGCUCGCUAGAAGGAGUGUGGUCCACCGGAGGACUCCCUACAUUCUUCCUCCAUUACCUCACUGCCUCCGGUGGCUGCUGGGAUACCGGAGGACUCGGGUCCCGGCUCGACUCAGUCCUCCAGCCGCCCGGGGAAUACCUCUAGUUCUUCCCGGCCGCCGCCGCCGCCGCCGCCCCGCCGCUUCCUCCUCCGCCUGCCGGCCUCCUUCGCCCCGUCCCGUCCGCGCAGCGCGUCCGGCCCGCCCGCAGGCCAGCUUCUCUCGGGAGCCCCCACCCAGGCGCAUGGCUCCAUGAAGCAAGAGGAGGAGGCAGAGCGCGAGAGGUCCCGUCCGCCCCAGCCGCGUCUGGGCCAGGAUAAAAGCAAAACCAUAUUCCUGCUGCUGUCAGUUAUGAUGCACUGAGAAAACUUCAGAGACCUAAACUUUUUCCAGAGAAGAGAAGCUUUACUGGUGUUCCAGCCCUAAGAAACCUUUGUUCAAGAAAACGGCAGAUGCUCUGUUGAAUCCACUGGAGAUUGUUCUGAUACUAAGGACAAGUAUCAACCAUCUUUCCUGUGAAAAAUUCCCUCUCGUACUUUAGUUCUGUGGAUCCAAAAUUUAUAGCAUUCUUCUACCACCACAGGGGCUCAUAUGACAUUAACAGACAAGACACUUUUCAGAAAGACAGGCAACGUGUUGGACCUUCCGGAGCUUCUCAGAAGACAGAGGGUUUUCUUUUGAGGAUUUAAACCUCAGACACAGGGAGCUGACCUAUUCACCUUAGAAUCCUCUGGGGCACCCAUUACAGUGUCUGUACCAAGGAGGCAACAAAGAACGGCGGAACAGACUGGAGCAGAAGGACCACCCAGCAGAGCCAAGCCAAAUCACUGACCCUCAGAGGCCUGAUGUGAAUGCUUAUGGCUUCAGUCCAUUGGAUUCUGCAGUAAUCUGCCGAUCUACAGUAUUACCACAGUAAAUAACCGAUAGACCUGAAAACGAAUGCAUGCCUUGUGCCAAAAUUGCAGGAAACCUCACCAGGAGAAACAAUUUUAUAUGAGGGAAUGUACUCUCUCCUUUGCAUUUUCCCUCAAAUCUAUAUUUUUAGCCCCUCACUUGUCUCUACAGAGCCUCAGUUGCUUAAUCUAAUUGCUGACUGAACAUCUCCAGGAAACUGUGUGUACGUGUUUGUAUUCAUAGUAUAUUUAUUUAUUAUCUGUUUACUUCCAUGGGAUAUAGUCUCCAUAAGAGAGUAGUCAUCAUUGUAUUUGUUGAUGCUUAAUAAAUAAUCAUUGAAUGGGC